GCUUUCGCGUUGGUUGGUUGGUGGCGGUCGGUCCGACCACGACGACGAAAACUCACUCACCCGUCCCUUCAGACGCGUGCACCUUUUCUUCCACCGCCCGCCCACCCACCCAAAAACCCAGAUGUUUCGAUGAGGAUGAGCCUCGGCUGUUCCGGCUAGCCAGCCUCCAGCGCUCCGGACGGAGGUUCUCCUCUGCAGCAUCGCUGGCUUUCGGCACGUCGUCGUCGUCUACUUCCCGCUCGAGAGAUGCAUCUCUGCUGCGCAGACUUGGCCGGCCUCGGGGGUUUGCUUCGGUUCUCUCUCUGGUGGGAUGUCAAGACGGCACUGCACCCCCCCCCCAGCCCCCGGGAUGAAGUUUAGCCGCCGCCGCCGCCGCCGCCGCCACCACUACCCGGUGCACUCUGGGAGUUGUGGUCCACCCGACCUCUCCGCCUCUACCAUGGCGGCCCAGAAGCAAGAGGAAGUCUGACUCCAAACCGGUUAGACCAGAACAAACACGCCCCCCCGCCCCCCCCCGCCCCGCCCCGCCCC
Long non-coding RNA from Sorex araneus (European shrew), 531 nucleotides. RefSeq lists it as uncharacterized. The transcript has 3 exons. NCBI's taxonomy places the organism in Eukaryota, Metazoa, Chordata, Mammalia, Eulipotyphla, Soricidae. The record is from RefSeq and is a predicted model, not a curated record.